This 482-nucleotide ribosomal RNA is filed under the name uncultured bacterium. RNAcentral describes it as "partial 16S ribosomal RNA". It matches the Rfam family "Bacterial small subunit ribosomal RNA", at positions 30 to 507 of the family's 1533-position model. The record is from RNAcentral.
AUUGAACGCUGGCGGCAUGCUUUACACAUGCAAGUCGAACGGUAACAGGCCGCAAGGUGCUGACGAGUGGCGAACGGGUGAGUAAUGCAUCGGAACGUGCCCAGUCGUGGGGGAUAACUACUCGAAAGAGUAGCUAAUACCGCAUACGAUCUAUGGAUGAAAGCGGGGGACCGUAAGGCCUCGCGCGAUUGGAGCGGCCGAUGUCAGAUUAGGUAGUUGGUGGGGUAAAGGCUCACCAAGCCAACGAUCUGUAGCUGGUCUGGGAGGACGACCAGCCACACUGGGACUGAGACACGGCCCAGACUCCUACGGGAGGCAGCAGUGGGGAAUUUUGGACAAUGGGCGCAAGCCUGAUCCAGCAAUGCCGCGUGCAGGAAGAAGGCCUUCGGGUUGUAAACUGCUUUUGUACGGAACGAAACGGCUCUGGUUAAUACCCGGGGCUAAUGACGGUACCGUAAGAAUAAGCACCGGCUAACUACGUG